GACGAACGCUGGCGGCGUGCUUAACACAUGCAAGUCGAACGAUGAAGCUGGAGCUUGCUCCGGUGGAUUAGUGGCGAACGGGUGAGUAACACGUGAGUAAUCUGCCCUUGACUCUGGGAUAACUGCGGGAAACUGUAGCUAGUACCGGAUACGACCCUCGGCGGCAUCGCCAGGGGGUGGAAAGAAUUUCGGUCAAGGAUGGACUCGCGGCCUAUCAGCUAGUUGGUGAGGUAACGGCUCACCAAGGCGACGACGGGUAGCCGGCCUGAGAGGGUGACCGGCCACACUGGGACUGAGACACGGCCCAGACUCCUACGGGAGGCAGCAGUGGGGAAUAUUGCACAAUGGGCGCAAGCCUGAUGCAGCGACGCCGCGUGAGGGAUGACGGCCUUCGGGUUGUAAACCUCUUUUAGUAGGGAAGAAGCGAAAGUGACGGUACCUGCAGAAAAAGCACCGGCUAACUACGUGCCAGCCGCCGCCGUAA
This 484-nucleotide ribosomal RNA is filed under the name uncultured bacterium. RNAcentral describes it as "partial 16S ribosomal RNA". It matches the Rfam family "Bacterial small subunit ribosomal RNA", at positions 28 to 523 of the family's 1533-position model. The record is from RNAcentral.